CCUCGAUCAGACUCAGAAUGUAUUCAUUAUUCCAGAAGUACAAUGCCCUCUCUGCGACCUGAAAGAGACGGGCAGUAGGAAGGGGAGUGUCCAGGCCGAGAGACGGUGGUCACGGUUAAAAAAAAAAAUUUAGGAACAAGUGACAGAUUGGGAUGAGCUCCCACCAGGGUGGUGGUCACUACUACUCGCUGCUCUGCUCACAGGACACCGGGCCCAAACCCACCUCCUUCUGACUGCAUGUUUUCGGCCAGAACUUCAGCAAUCCUCUGAUCACCUGCAAGAAGAAAGGAACUGCACGACACAGUACGCAAGCUGCAAUGUCAGAGGACAGGCUGCUGUGAAUAACACUGACUGCCCAGCAUUUUCAGUUUCUCUUGGAUUGAUUGUCUCUGGGCAAGGAGUCCAAACUUCCAAGCUUCCCCCAGUGAACACUGCUGUACAGUCUGCAAGAACAGGAGCCUCAGAUUCCCUCGAGCGCGCAUGAAGGAUGCCCCUUCUGUAACAGUCCGCCUUGCCGUCUACACUGUCAGGUGGAACAUGCCCCAACCCAGUAAAAGAGAAGACCUACCUUCCUAAGAUUUCAAGGAGUUCAGCAACACCAUUGAAAUGCUCUGUUUCAUAUAUAAACCUGAAUUUAAAACAAA
This is a long non-coding RNA of Erinaceus europaeus (western European hedgehog), 644 nucleotides long. RefSeq lists it as uncharacterized. The transcript is spliced from 4 exons. NCBI's taxonomy places the organism in Eukaryota, Metazoa, Chordata, Mammalia, Eulipotyphla, Erinaceidae. The record is from RefSeq and is a predicted model, not a curated record.